CACGUAGGGUGCGAGCGUUGUCCGGAAUUACUGGGCGUAAAGCGUGCGCAGGCGGUUCGGCAAGUCAGGUGUGAAAUCCCCGGGCUUAACCUGGGAAUUGCGCUUGAAACUAGCGGGCUUGAGUGUGGCAGAGGGGGGUGGAAUUCCACGUGUAGCAGUGAAAUGCGUAGAGAUGUGGAGGAACACCGAUGGCGAAGGCAGCCCCCUGGGUCAACACUGACGCUCAUGCACGAAAGCGUGGGGAGCAAACAGG
RNAcentral lists this ribosomal RNA (253 nucleotides) under uncultured bacterium. RNAcentral's name for it is "partial 16S ribosomal RNA". It matches the Rfam family "Bacterial small subunit ribosomal RNA", at positions 524 to 776 of the family's 1533-position model. The record is from RNAcentral.